Long non-coding RNA from Gymnogyps californianus (California condor), 238 nucleotides. RefSeq lists it as uncharacterized. The record is from RefSeq and is a predicted model, not a curated record. NCBI's taxonomy places the organism in Eukaryota, Metazoa, Chordata, Aves, Accipitriformes, Cathartidae. The transcript has 3 exons.
GUCUCGCUCUGGUGGAAACCUCCAUCGCCUUAGUCAGCCUGCAUCCAGAUCAAUAUCAAGGUAGUAUGGCUACUGGAAUACCCUGCAAAAGUUGAAGAGAAGUACUUGCUGGAAACAACAAAGGACCUGGUUUCAAAGGAAACCUGAGAAGUUCAAGUCCUGGUUCUGAUCUGGAUGCCAGUUGUUUCACAGACUACAAGAGAAGAAAGAAGUGUCCAGGCACUGUACGAUAGUGCUG